GACGAACGCUGGCGGCGUGCCUAAUACAUGCAAGUAGAACGCUGAAGAGAGGAGCUUGCUCUUCUUGGAUGAGUUGCGAACGGGUGAGUAACGCGUAGGUAACCUGCCUGGUAGCGGGGGAUAACUAUUGGAAACGAUAGCUAAUACCGCAUAAAAUGGAUUAUCGCAUGAUAAUCCAUUGAAAGGUGCAAAUGCAUCACUACCAGAUGGACCUGCGUUGUAUUAGCUAGUUGGUGGGGUAACGGCUCACCAAGGCGACGAUACAUAGCCGACCUGAGAGGGUGAUCGGCCACACUGGGAAUGAGACACGGCCCAGACUCCUACGGGAGGCAGCAGUAGGGAAUCUUCGGCAAUGGACGGAAGUCUGACCGAGCAACGCCGCGUGAGUGAAGAAGGUUUUCGGAUCGUAAAGCUCUGUUGUAAGAGAAGAACGAGUGUGAGAGUGGAAAGUUCACACUGUGACGGUAUCUUACCAGAAAGGGACGGCUAACUACGUG
RNAcentral lists this ribosomal RNA (497 nucleotides) under uncultured bacterium. RNAcentral's name for it is "partial 16S ribosomal RNA". It matches the Rfam family "Bacterial small subunit ribosomal RNA", at positions 28 to 507 of the family's 1533-position model. The record is from RNAcentral.